UGAGACAUCAGGCCUGAUUAUUUUGUUAGUUUUUGGCUUGUUUGCUUUGUCUGAUAUUGGUUUUUGAUUUGGAUUAGAUUCCUCUGGACAAAAGGCCUGCCAGAAUAUGAUGAUGAUACCUCCAACUGCAGUAAUUUAGAAGAAUGCUAAUGUCACAAAUGCUGUGCCCUGUUAGGCCUCUGGUCUUUUCAACUCAAACACCAAAAAUCCAUUUAAACUUUACAACAAAAAGGCCUUACUGCUUUCACCUUUUUUGGAUGGAACCACAUUGUCCUACAAACUUUAUACUGGAUCUGUGGCCUGAAGCCUCCUUGUUUUUUAACUUUGAAAAGCUCAAAUGUGCAUUUUGCGCUGGUAAGCCUUUUUCCUUCAGGAGCGAAUGUCUGACUGAUUAA
Alligator sinensis (Chinese alligator) is the source of this 395-nucleotide long non-coding RNA. RefSeq lists it as uncharacterized. The transcript is spliced from 3 exons. The record is from RefSeq and is a predicted model, not a curated record. NCBI's taxonomy places the organism in Eukaryota, Metazoa, Chordata, Crocodylia, Alligatoridae.